RNAcentral lists this ribosomal RNA (846 nucleotides) under uncultured bacterium. Its description in RNAcentral is "bacterial SSU rRNA". It matches the Rfam family "Bacterial small subunit ribosomal RNA", at positions 25 to 862 of the family's 1533-position model. The record is from RNAcentral.
CAGGAUGAACGCUAGCUACAGGCUUAACACAUGCAAGUCGAGGGGAAACGACAUCGAAAGCUUGCUUUUGAUGGGCGUCGACCGGCGCACGGGUGAGUAACGCGUAUCCAACCUGCCCACCACUUGGGGAUAACCUUGCGAAAGUAAGACUAAUACCCAAUGACGUCUCUAGAAGACAUCUGAAAGAGAUUAAAGAUUUAUCGGUGAUGGAUGGGGAUGCGUCUGAUUAGCUUGUUGGCGGGGUAACGGCCCACCAAGGCAACGAUCAGUAGGGGUUCUGAGAGGAAGGUCCCCCACAUUGGAACUGAGACACGGUCCAAACUCCUACGGGAGGCAGCAGUGAGGAAUAUUGGUCAAUGGACGAGAGUCUGAACCAGCCAAGUAGCGUGCAGGAAGACGGCCCUAUGGGUUGUAAACUGCUUUUAUAAGGGAAUAAAGUGAGUCUCGUGAGACUUUUUGCAUGUACCUUAUGAAUAAGGACCGGCUAAUUCCGUGCCAGCAGCCGCGGUAAUACGGAAGGUCCGGGCGUUAUCCGGAUUUAUUGGGUUUAAAGGGAGCGUAGGCCGGAGAUUAAGCGUGUUGUGAAAUGUAGAUGCUCAACAUCUGAACUGCAGCGCGAACUGGUUUCCUUGAGUACGCACAAAGUGGGCGGAAUUCGUGGUGUAGCGGUGAAAUGCUUAGAUAUCACGAAGAACUCCGAUUGCGAAGGCAGCUCACUGGAGCGCAACUGACGCUGAAGCUCGAAAGUGCGGGUAUCGAACAGGAUUAGAUACCCUGGUAGUCCGCACGGUAAACGAUAGAUGCCCGCUGUUGUCUGAAUAGGUCAGCGGCCAAGCGAAAGCAUAA